ACCUCAAACGCCUUUCCCACUCCUUGCUCCUUUUGCUGCCUGGUAGAUGUCAUGAUUUAUCUAUUCCUCCGUUCACGUGGUCAGCCAAAAAGUAUGGAUAUUUCUGGGUGCUACACCUGUGCUAAGCACAGGAGGGACAGCAAGCGACAGGACAAGCCCCGACUCCAAUAGAAUUUCGGAAAAGCCAGACACGAAGCAACUCAUGGCAAUAAAGGCAGAGAAUGAGAUCACAGUGGAGAAUGUUGUUGAAAACUGUUGAAAGAAGACCCAGUAAAGUAAGCUUUCAUCCAACUCCUUCCACCUGUUGUCAUCUUGCUUUGAGCCUCUCCAUUGCUCAGUGGAUGUUGACUGAACCAACCAUGGAUAGUGAAUUAUCAUAGCAUUUACUAUUGAAAAAAAUCCCUAUAUAAGUGGACCUGCUGCGUUCAGACCAUGUUGUCCAAGGUUGAAUGGUUCUUGAUCAAACUCCUCCCAACUCAUUUUCCUGUCUGCUGAUGUACUGCCUUUGGUGCAUUUUCUUCACUGACACAGGAGUGAAUUUUGGUCAAAUUGGGUGAGUGCUCUUAACGCUCACAUUGUUCAACGUCAACUGCACUGCGCAUGUAGGAAAGAAGCUGAGGUCCCAAACACUUACUUGCCUUCAUGUAUCCUACCUGAUUAAAAACUGCUGCCUUCUGGAGCUCCUGUCGUGGCGCAGUGGUU
Molecule: long non-coding RNA, 702 nt
Filed under: Sus scrofa (pig)
Lineage: Eukaryota; Metazoa; Chordata; Mammalia; Artiodactyla; Suidae
Description: lncRNA (ENSSSCG00070014889.1)
Source: RNAcentral